GGAGCUGCUGUGGGUGAAGCUUAAGAUGCUUGAAAAACGUGAAACAGCCAGAGAACAACAUCAAGGUGAUUGAGCCAGAAGGUGCUUCCUGCGGCAGGGAAGAGACAGCCAAGCAUUUCUGGGUGGAGGAUGGUCAAGUGACCAGCGCUGCAGAAGAGGAAGGGACAGAGAAAGAGAGAGGCACCUGAACUGGAAAAUUCUGUGGGCAGCGCUGAAAGCAGGAGCUGCGAAUUCCAGCUGCCAGCGUUUCUCCGUGGUCGCCCUUCCUUCUGCCGUGAUGGUACAGGACAGACGGAA
Molecule: long non-coding RNA, 297 nt
Organism: Chroicocephalus ridibundus (black-headed gull)
Lineage: Eukaryota; Metazoa; Chordata; Aves; Charadriiformes; Laridae
Exons: 3
Source: RefSeq, a predicted model, not a curated record